This 495-nucleotide ribosomal RNA is filed under the name uncultured bacterium. Its description in RNAcentral is "partial 16S ribosomal RNA". It matches the Rfam family "Bacterial small subunit ribosomal RNA", at positions 30 to 507 of the family's 1533-position model. The record is from RNAcentral.
UGAACGCUGGCGGCGUGCCUAAUACAUGCAAGUCGAGCGAACAGACGAGGAGCUUGCUCCUCUGACGUUAGCGGCGGACGGGUGAGUAACACGUGGAUAACCUACCUAUAAGACUGGGAUAACUUCGGGAAACCGGAGCUAAUACCGGAUAAUAUAUUGAACCGCAUGGUUCAAUAGUGAAAGACGGUUUUGCUGUCACUUAUAGAUGGAUCCGCGCCGCAUUAGCUAGUUGGUAGGGUAACGGCUUACCAAGGCGACGAUGCGUAGCCGACCUGAGAGGGUGAUCGGCCACACUGGAACUGAGACACGGUCCAGACUCCUACGGGAGGCAGCAGUAGGGAAUCUUCCGCAAUGGGCGAAAGCCUGACGGAGCAACGCCGCGUGAGUGAUGAAGGUCUUCGGAUCGUAAAACUCUGUUAUUAGGGAAGAACAAAUGUGUAAGUAACUAUGCACGUCUUGACGGUACCUAAUCAGAAAGCCACGGCUAACUACGUG